CCUGAGUCUGUUUCAUCUGUGGGUCUUCAACUGCAAAUAGAGAAGUGGAGGAUCAAAUGAACAACUAAUUCACAGCCUGGCCUCCCUUCUCUGCAGCUGGGUCUUGGAGACAGAUGAAGAGCAAAUGGGGCUACUGUCUCCUACAGAAUCUCCAAGAUUGCUUCUGCCUCUUUUUCUCACUUUGACAUAAGAUCAUUUGGUUCUAUUGGACAUGAGAUUGUCUAUUGAAACCCCCAUUCAUUAACAUUUCUCUGUGUCCCUGAGCCCCAUUCUCUGUCUGAUGUUUCCAGGCUCCCCAUCUUUAUGUACUCUACUUCAUUUCUCUUGGAAAAUGCAAGGCUACAGUAUGAGGAGAACCUGCAUAGAAAGAAGCCUCCUCUAGACUGGAGCAAGCAUCCUGCUUCUCACAGAGAGAGCUCUCCAUGCAGCACAUUCUCCAUUCAUUUCAGCUAUGGAUGGUGCCCUCUUUCACUGGUUGGAAGCCAGAAUGGCGGCUGUCUAAGGCAGUGAACCCCAGUAGGAGUCAGGGUUCUUCUUCACAUGCCUGUUGAUAUGGAGGCCAAAAGGAUGUGACUUUGUGACUGUAAAGUAGGAAAGUGGAAGUAGGGAGAUGAACAAAUUGCUGUAAAAUUUCAAAGCAUCAUUUAGUAAUGACUGCCUUUUUAAAGAGAAGAACAAAAGCAGCUUAUACGGCUGGUGCUGCAUACUAAUCUCAAAUUAUUCAUAAAGUUCAAGUUCAAACCUCA
Peromyscus eremicus (cactus mouse) is the source of this 746-nucleotide long non-coding RNA. RefSeq lists it as uncharacterized. The transcript is spliced from 2 exons. Lineage: Eukaryota; Metazoa; Chordata; Mammalia; Rodentia; Cricetidae. The record is from RefSeq and is a predicted model, not a curated record.